UCCUAGCUAUUUUGAAUACAUGUACCCACAUAGCAAUACAUUGGAGAGAAGGAAUGAUACUGAGACACAUGGAAAGAGUUGGUAAAGACUGGCGUGAUGCUGGGAAUGCAUUUCAUGUAAACAGUAUGUUGGAACUGAAUGUGUAGGGAGAGAAGCUGUAAGGUAAAGUCAGGACACUAUCUGUCUAAGACUGCUAAGUGAGACACUGAAACCAGAGGAAGGAAAAGGGGAUAUUGAUCAUCAAAUGCAAACUAGUCACAAUUUCAGAGGGAAGAGAAAGGACUUGGGAAAAGAGAAAAAGAAAGCAGUAGUAAGAGGUCACCUCAGCGUUGCUAUGGAAGAAAGAGCUUAAGGCAAAAUUCUCAGUGCCCCUAAGAAGCUUGGAGAUGCAAGAAAGACUUUGUUACACUACAGAUUUAGAAUUUAUGAUUGCCUUUUGACCAAAGAAGUGAAAAAUGGGCAACUCAAACCCAUUUCUGCAACCAAACAACCCAGACAUGGACAAUUAUAGCAUGGCUGAAGGAUGCCUUUGAUGAUCCUCUUCCAAACAGGUGAUAGUCAACUCCAAGAU
Long non-coding RNA from Python bivittatus (Burmese python), 571 nucleotides. RefSeq lists it as uncharacterized. The record is from RefSeq and is a predicted model, not a curated record. Lineage: Eukaryota; Metazoa; Chordata; Lepidosauria; Squamata; Pythonidae.